Molecule: long non-coding RNA, 2920 nt
Organism: Asparagus officinalis (garden asparagus)
Lineage: Eukaryota; Viridiplantae; Streptophyta; Magnoliopsida; Asparagales; Asparagaceae
Exons: 6
Source: RefSeq, a predicted model, not a curated record
UUUCUCAUUUAUUUUUCCCCCAAACCGACGCCAUCCCCUUUUCUCCCCUCUCAACCCCUGUUCGUCGCCUCUCCGAUUCGCCGACUCCCUCAUGAACCGAGCUUUCCAAAAAACCUAAAAAUUUGCUCUGAGUUCUUUAGAUUUCGUUAGUUUCUGGCUCGAUUGUUUGGGAUUUGAUCGGAGAUGGCGGAUGUCGACACUUGACUCUGAAUCGGGGCUGUUUCUUGUUGAUUCUACAGAGCCAAAGAAACAGCCUGAGGUUAUGAUUGUAAGAUUUUGUGAUAUUGGGAGAUCUCUAGGGUUUGGUCUCAAUUGCUUGGUUGGCGCUGUUGGUGAUCGUUUGGGAUGAGGAAUGAGGGGCAGAGGCCUCAAGGAUCCAGACGGAACAAUGGAUUCAUGAGGAGCUUCUCGAGCUACUUGAGGAUUGUCUCUAAUGGUGCUUUGAAUAUGGCGUUGACUGUGAAAUCUGCGGGGGUUUCGGUCGCUUCGUCCUUAGCUGAACGCGAUGAGGAUGAUGCUCGUGAUCAAUACUAUCCAAGCUUGAACCGGUCAAGAUGUUGCAUGAAAGGAAUAUGUACAGGAAGGAGCCCAGAGGAAGCAACCUGAAUGGGGAUUGCAAGCUCUCCCCACUUGGGGAUGGCAAAUGCAUCGGCAAGCCACAUUGUCAUUGUUCUCUUCUGCAGCAACAUCAAGAUUCUCGACUAACUUGGUUACAGCCACAGCUCAUUCACCUUAUCUUCAGUUUCCUCCACCGUCUAUAUCUAAUGCCGCACGUUUGUGUUUCCCAAUUCAUUUAUUAUUUUCCUCUCUAUAAAAUUAUUCAUGCAGUUUGUGUUUGAGGAUUUGGUACGUGGUAUAUUCACCCGAAUCUGGUACGUGGAACCACAUUCCAGAGAGGUAAGGACAUUCAACAUACCACAAUAACCUGAAUCCUUGAGGGUCUAAUUCUAACCAGAGUAUAUAUGUUGCCUAUAUCAAUUUAAUCUUUCUACUACUAUUUAGGAUGUUUUUAAAGUUUAUGAAGCUUGAUCUCAACUUUUGGCAACCGUUCAAUUGAAAUAAUUUGAUUGCCUUGCCUCUUUUGAAGUGCCUUUUUAUGAACCAGUAUGUUUGCAUCAAAAUUUGUGACAGGCAGUUUUGUAUUCUGAACAUGGGGCUCCUUUCUCAUUUACCUUGUCUUUGGUUGGUUUAACUGUAAUUACGUUCUUGAUGGCGCUUAUGCUUAACAUGGUGAAACUUUACAGGAUUUUGGAAUCCUGUUGAGGGCCGGUUGCAUACGUCUAAAGUAUUUCUUUUGUUUGUGGUUCUAUUAUUGAUGAUCUAAAUUAUUUUGAAGUUUUAAUUACAAUUUUUUGUGUUUUUCUGUGGAAGAAUUGACCUUUGGUGAUUGUUCUUUUUUGCUAUUUUAUCCAUCCAUUUUAGAGAUAAAUGGAUUGGUUCAUCUUCAGUCUGCAAAAGUGUCAAACUGUUCAGGAAUAAAUAUGGUCAUUGUGAAGACUACAAAUGUUAAGCAAUUUGUGUUGUUUUCUGGGGAGAAUACACAUAAGAUCUCGAGACUAAAUUUCCAGCUUUUAGAUGAUGAUGGUAAUGAUUUUUCCACUGCAGCAGGAAAACCUUAACUUCUGAAGCAUUUGAAUUUAAGAGGGAGCAAAUUUGCACUCAAUAUAACCAAUUUUACUACUCUCGAGACUGUUUUACUUGAAGAUAUAUAUAUCUUACAGAUGAGGAUGUGGGCAAUUUAUUGACAAGUUGUUUGUUCCUUAAGAGAUUGGAUCUCAUAACAUGUCGCGGUUUUUUCACUCUGAACAUCAUGGGUCCAUUCUCGCGACUCAAGAUUCUGAAUGUGAGGCAUUGCAACCAACUUGUUGAGAUAGGAAUUUGUGCUUCAAAUCUUAUGGAAUUUAGAUAUCUUGGACAGCUAAUAUGUUUCUCUAUGAGAGAAGUUUCCAAAUUGGUAACAGUGGAGAUCAAAAUUAAAGAAGAUGUCUGCGAUAUCAGCUCUGAAUGUUGCUUAACAUGCAGGGGGAAGAGGCUACACAGUAUCUCAUAGGGAACAAAGAUAAAUUUCAAGUUGUUGGGUAUGUUUCAGAGACCCAAGGCUAUCAGACUUCCACCUAUGUCGGCGAUAAAAUUUAUUUAAUUGGAGGAUCUGAGGAAUAUGCUGGCUCAGUGAUUGGAGUCAAAAUUCUUGAUAAGUUAACAUGAAAAUUGUGAGAUUCAAUCUCAACUAAUUCUUGCUCAUUUGCUACUUUAGCAUAUAGUGUUUAAUUAUUUAAAUUUUCAUGGAAUUGGGAGGUCUUUUCCUACUACAUUGGGUACCAAGCCCAUUUCAUCUGAAUGCCACUCAGAAGUUCUUAUAAAUAAAAAUCAGAUCUUGAUCCUUAAGGGGAGGUCUCCUCUUGCUGAUUGAAGCUACUUUCUUGAGGUUUGUAAUCUUCAUAUUAUUUUCAUCUUCUAUUUCAGACUUUAUGAAAUUGACAGUUUAUAGUUAAUUGCUUGAUAUGAUUUGGAUAAUGACAUAUCAUUAGAAAACAACAUAAGAAUCUCAACAGAUUUACAUAGAGGAUGGUGGAUUUGAUAGCAUAUUUGAACAUCCUUAGAGGUUACUAUUGAAUAUGGUGAAGACAGAUCAAAUGCAUUGGCCAAAUGCAUGAAUUCGAAAUCUACAUGUGUAAUUUAUGUGAAAUCAUUGGUAGCUAAUCAUCGGCAAUACAACAUUGUGUUAGCAUAUUUCGUAGGAUAUGUAUUUUGAUGGUAGUUCCAAUUCAAUCAAAUAGUCAUAAAAGAGCAAAAUAGGUGAAUUGGAACAGAAGUGGUAGCUUGGAGUAAGGCGUCAGAGGCAGUGGCCUAAAUCUAAUUGUAAUCAGUGGCCCCUAAAAAGUCGGCAAGGGAACUCUGAUAUCAAAGCUAAUGAAAGAAU